Molecule: transfer RNA, 73 nt
Filed under: Fidelibacterota bacterium
Lineage: Bacteria; Pseudomonadati; Fidelibacterota
Also listed under: 1 other name
Description: tRNA-Thr
Rfam family: tRNA
About the family: Transfer RNA (tRNA) molecules are approximately 80 nucleotides in length. Their secondary structure includes four short double-helical elements and three loops (D, anti-codon, and T loops).
Source: RNAcentral
GCCAUCCUAGCUCAGCUGGUAGAGCAGCUCACUCGUAAUGAGCAGGUCGUCGGUUCGACUCCGACGGAUGGCU